Vicia villosa (hairy vetch) is the source of this 506-nucleotide long non-coding RNA. RefSeq lists it as uncharacterized. NCBI's taxonomy places the organism in Eukaryota, Viridiplantae, Streptophyta, Magnoliopsida, Fabales, Fabaceae. The transcript is spliced from 2 exons. The record is from RefSeq and is a predicted model, not a curated record.
UAAUGCUAAAAAAAAAUCUAUAAAUGGAUGUAUCUUGUAGUUCUAUCAUUAAACAGAAGCUAGCAAACAAAAGAGUGUAGUGUGUAAAAUGGCAUCACUCAAAGCCGAUAAACCAACUGAUAAAUCUGGUGUCUCUCAACCAUCAGGGCAGGUUAAGAAAGAGUCUGCUGCUAAAACUAGUGGAACCACUCCUAAAACUAGAGCCUCCAAAGCAGCAGCAGCAGCACCAAAGAAAACUGAGCAGAAACCUCAGCCUAAGAAGAAGGCUAGCAGCAGUAAGCAGAAGAUAUCAAGUGAAGUUUAGAUAACUUGAAAAAAUAGUUGUUGGACUUAUAUAUUAGUCAUCUGAAGAAUCCAUAAGGAUAAUGUUAUGGUGCAUGUUUCGUGAAUUUUAUCAGUAGUACUAUAGUUUGUAUUGUACCACUUGCUUCUUUUGCCCCAUCUGUAUAUCAUGUAACUCCUUGCCUGCCCAGCAUGGCCUUAUAAAUAAAAUAUAGUUAUGAUGA